GGCUUCUCGACUCAAUCAAAAGGUAUUGAGGUUUGUGGCCAGGUCCAAAGAUCCCUGGGCGGACGCGACGGAUGCGUUAAUGGCUCCAUGGGGACAGUAUCGGCUAAUUUAUGCCUUCCUCCCACUGAAACUUCUUCCUCGGAGUAGAGACAGAGGGGAUUCCGGUGAUUCUAAUUGCCCCAGAUUGGCCUCAGCGUCCCUGGUACGCCAACCUAGUGCGCCUGGUGGCGGAUGUCCCUUGGCGGCUGGAGGGAUGGAAGCAUGUAUUUUACGGGACUACAUUUUUGUCUAUUUUGUGUCAAUAUCCAGUACUGCAUUAUUGUUGUUUUUCUAAGUGCUAGCAGCAAUGUGCUUACAACUGUUUCAUUAGUAUCUGUCACAUUUUGAGCACGGCUGGGUAUUUUGGGCUAUUCCACAUCUGUUCACAUGUUCCCUGGCGCUGUCUGGCUAAGGGUGUUGUUACCUCCGGCCCCCUGUGGGGUGUGGUCCUAUCCGGGGGCAGCAACACUCACUGCACACGCUCUCCGUCCUGUGCUCCGAAGAUGCACGCCUCCAUCACCUGACACGGAACUAGGUCUCCGUGCAGUGUAUUGGUAUACCAUCCACGAGGGGUUACAGGAGUCAAACGGCGCCGCAUCAUUGGGCGGUUACCCCGCACCAAUGCAGGCGCCUCCCUUCUCCUCCCCCUCGUAUGCGUGUCUCUGGGCGGGUAACAUUGGGGGGGUGGUCCCUAUAAGAUUGUGUCACCUAUGGCAGGUACAGGAAUUUGGCUCUUCACAUGUCAUCACUCCAUGCAGCACACUCGGAACUCACAGCCAUCAUUCCUUACCGACCACAGUGCAUUCAAUACACCAUGCCUCAUGCCGGUGCCACCUGGGUGUGCUCUCCUGAUGGGCCCUGCACCCCUCAUUCUCCAGCCCUAGUCCCCGGCAGUGACCACCCCAUCCUGGGAUCCAUCCGGAGCUUCACUCUAGUGCCAGCGGCAAUCGGCAACCUGAUAACCAAUGUAAUGCAUGCCUGCUCCUGAUGAGCGACCAACAGUCGCGAAACGCGUAGAGCUCUAUAUCUCAAUAAUAUAGUACAGCUUGAUGUACUCAUUGCAUUUAUAUAUUUGGGUCACUGCCCACGUACCUUGUCCCCCAACUAAUCUGUGAAACAUAUAUGUUUAUCUAUUUCUUCAAUAGUGCAAAAUAGUCAUGGAUGGUGCAUUAUGUGAAAGUAAUAAAAUAUUUAACCCUA
Long non-coding RNA from Rana temporaria (common frog), 1239 nucleotides. RefSeq lists it as uncharacterized. The transcript is spliced from 3 exons. The record is from RefSeq and is a predicted model, not a curated record. Lineage: Eukaryota; Metazoa; Chordata; Amphibia; Anura; Ranidae.